UACGUAGGGUGCGAGCGUUGUCCGGAAUUAUUGGGCGUAAAGAGCUCGUAGGCGGCCUGUCGCGUCGGAUGUGAAAGCCCGGGGCUUAACCCCGGGUCUGCAGUCGAUACGGGCAGGCUAGAAUUCGGUAGGGGAGACUGGAAUUCCUGGUGUAGCGGUGAAAUGCGCAGAUAUCAGGGGGAACACCGGUGGCGAAGGCGGGCCUCUGGGCCGAUAUUGACGCUGAGGAGCGAAAGCGUGGGGAGCGAACAGG
This 253-nucleotide ribosomal RNA is filed under the name uncultured bacterium. RNAcentral describes it as "partial 16S ribosomal RNA". It matches the Rfam family "Bacterial small subunit ribosomal RNA", at positions 524 to 776 of the family's 1533-position model. The record is from RNAcentral.